RNAcentral lists this ribosomal RNA (253 nucleotides) under uncultured bacterium. RNAcentral describes it as "partial 16S ribosomal RNA". It matches the Rfam family "Bacterial small subunit ribosomal RNA", at positions 524 to 776 of the family's 1533-position model. The record is from RNAcentral.
UACGUAGGGUGCGAGCGUUAAUCGGAAUUACUGGGCGUAAAGCGUGCGCAGGCGGUUCGUCGUGUCCGAUGUGAAAGCCCCGGGCUCAACCUGGGAAUGGCAUUGGAAACUGGCGGACCCGAGUGUGGCAGAGGGGGGUGGAAUUCCGCGUGUAGCAGUGAAAUGCGUAGAGAUGCGGAGGAACACCGAUGGCGAAGGCAGCCCCCUGGGUUAACACUGACGCUCAGGCACGAAAGCGUGGGGAGCAAACAGG